CAAAGCAACGCGUCGACUACUCGAAAAAUACCGCAUGACGGAAAACAACGAAACGAGAACGAAACUAUUCGAUGGAAUGGGAUCGUACGCGUCCAAGCCAGACAAUGCGAGACACGAGCAGCUGAAACCGUAUUAUAAAGAUCGAGUAUUGGAAUAACCGAGCCAGCGAGGGCGAGAGUGAACAAAACGAGAGAGAAAGGGAGAAAAGAGAGGGAGGGAAGGAGGGAGGGAGAGAGGGAGAGUAUGGGUAAAAGGGGAGACGGAAGGCGACCAGGACGAAAGAAAGGGAUGGAGAGGAAAUGGCAGCACGCAAGCGCACAGCGUAUCCUUCGCGAAAUGCACGAGGCAGGAUGCAGCUCGGCUUCAGGGUCAAGGACGAUUCGACGGGACGUGCACCCUGCGCCUCCUUUCCUCCGACAACGUUCCAGACUGAAGGAUACUUGGCGCUGCAGCCACGAACCCUGCACUCUGACCUCAAAAUGGCGGUGAAAGUUUCACGCGUCACACGUCCAGGCGCUCCAUUUUUGAAAAUUGGGAAUGACGGAUUGAAGCGGUAAUAAAGGAACACACGUGAAUCAACGACCGAAAUGCACCGAUAACGAGGAUCCUUCUGUGUCGGACGGGUAAUAAGCCAGUAUUAGGUGUCGGUUAGCUACAAUUACGAACGUUAGUGACUGUUUAUCGUUAUGCAACCACCGUGUCGACGCAGCAGGUAGACAUUAAAUUUAUUAACAACCGUUGUUCCUUUCGAUGCGUGGUCAUUGCGUGAACAAUGCGGUCUUCGAUUAGGUACAUAGGGUUUCGCGUUAUAUGUAGUACCGCGUACUGUGCUGUAUUUAUACAAACUCAACCAUAGCGCAAACAACGUACUAUUCAAAUCGAUCUAUUGUCCGAUAUUCUUUCGACCAGAGCCAAUUCGCUCUCUAUCUUUAUUUUACGAUCAACGAAAAUCGUAUCAAAAUUCAAGCUGCAUAAUCACGUUCGAAGAUGACUCUCGCAAUACUAGACGACCGAUUAUCGAUCGAAGAUGGUAGUGGUUCAAGGUAAAGACGACCAUAACGACGAAGCAAGGUCCAGAUAUCCGAAAACAGACAUGGUCGCUUAUUUUGGUUGAUCAGAAGCCGCAGAGAUCGAGAACGUCCAUGGGAACGGCCGAUUAAUAAAUCACCGGGUUCCCGUGGAAAGUUCGACCGCGGAUUUAUUUUAGACGCGUUGCAGCGCAGCGGAUUUAGGACAACGUGUCAUCGUCCUCGACGUUUGCACGAUUGCCGCGCGUAUUGCAUACAUAUGCACCUGUGACGGCCCACUUUCACGGUGUCCUCGGCAUACAGGCGAAAUCAAUCGCACAUGAAAAGAAAACAUAACGCUGCACGUCCUUAGAAUAGCGCGAUGAUCCGCGCGGUUUCGCAAACCAAUCGACUUCGCUGUGAUUUCCGAGCACCGACCUUCGCGGUGCAACGAGGUUGUUAAAUUGCUCGAAGCUUGCGUGCUUGAUCGCCCGAGCGACACAGCUAAUUAAAUAGAAGUUUCAAGAAAUAAGUAUUGGAAAAAAUGUG
Molecule: unclassified non-coding RNA, 1556 nt
Filed under: Bombus terrestris (buff-tailed bumblebee)
Lineage: Eukaryota; Metazoa; Arthropoda; Insecta; Hymenoptera; Apidae
Description: misc RNA ENSBTSG00005024106.1
Source: RNAcentral